Molecule: unclassified non-coding RNA, 395 nt
Filed under: Staphylococcus microti
Lineage: Bacteria; Bacillati; Bacillota; Bacilli; Caryophanales; Staphylococcaceae
Description: 16S-23S ribosomal RNA intergenic spacer
Source: RNAcentral
AAGGAUAAUAUACGGAAUAUCACCUUUAGGUGAUAAGCGGAUUAACGUGACAUAUUGUAUUCAGUUUUGAAUGCUCAUUAUUUGAGGAUUCAAAAUUAAAAUUUGAAUUGAAAACGCUUGUCAGUCAAUGAAUCAUGAACAAGAGCGAGUGCGCUUACUAUGGGUAAGUAAUCGAGCGAUUGUGAAAUGAUGAAGCAGAAUGCGAGCGAUUGCCAAUCAAAUUGUCUUGUACAUUGAAAACUAGAUAAGUAAGUAUAAAUGAUUUUACCAAGCAAAAACCGAGUGAAUAGCGAAAGCUUGAAACUAAAAAUUAUCGCUAGUCGUCAAAUGACGACUCACAUAAUUAAUAACUGGUGGAUGUUGGUGUCGUGUAAACGAUUGCCAAAAUCACAAUA